This 999-nucleotide ribosomal RNA is filed under the name Triticum aestivum (bread wheat). RNAcentral's name for it is "partial small subunit ribosomal RNA". Lineage: Eukaryota; Viridiplantae; Streptophyta; Magnoliopsida; Poales; Poaceae. The record is from RNAcentral.
UCAGCAGCUUCAAACCCGAUAUGGGAAUUCAUUUGGAAACUUCCAUGUCCAGCUAAGAUAAAGAUCUUUCUUUGGAGAACUCUACAUGGCACGCUUCCUUGCCGUGUAAACUUAGCAGAUUGGCAUAUGAAACUAUCCACGAAGUGUCCUGCUUGCGAAGAAGCUGAAAGUGUUAAGCACAUGCUCUUUUUAUGCCUAAAAGCAAAGCAAGUAUGGUAUAUGCUGGGUCUCCAGGAGGUGAUUGAGCGGGGAUGCGAUGUCGACCGGGCAGGAGAAGCUGUUCUUGAAUAUUUGUUAUCUGUUCCCGCAAAUGAGAUAAUGGUUCUAGGGCAAGGAAAAGGACCUUUGAUCAUUGCUAUCACAUGCUGGUUCUUGUGGUGGGAAAGGAGGAAGCUGGUUCAUGGGGAACACAUUCAACAACCAAACCAAAUUGUUCUAUCUAGUCGUGCCCUUGCUGAGAACUUCUCGGCGGCUGCUACUAGUUCUGCAAAAGAAAAGAGAAACCCAUGGCAAAGACCGCCAGCAGGAUAUGUCAAACUGAACGUCAAUGCCUCUUUUGAUGCUGAUUCACUUCAAGGAACUGCGGGGGUUGUUUUGCGUGAUUGUAAGGGGCUGUUGUUGGAAGCAAGUAACAAUGUAGCUGGGGUCUGUACAGAUGUGGUCAUGGCAGAAGCUCUAGCACUCCGGUUUGGUUUAAAUCUGGCAACAUCGGUUGGCUGUUCAAAGAUGAUUGUUAACUCCGACAGUUCAGACGUAAUUUUGGCUAUGCAUGAUGGGGGGAAUACAUCAGGCUCCUCUACUGCAAUUUUGGAUGAUUGUUUCCACAUGGCAAAGGAUUUCAGAUGCGUGCGUUAUGAGCAUUGCCAUAGGGAAGCUAAUGCUGUGGUUGAUGAGCUAGCUAGAAUCUGUAAAUUUUCUUCCCCUAGUUCCUGGUUUGAUGAGGCACCGGAUGCCAUCAUACCCUUGCUUGUAAAAGACAAUGUUUUAAUUACUAGCUAA